Salmo salar (Atlantic salmon) is the source of this 58-nucleotide non-coding RNA. Lineage: Eukaryota; Metazoa; Chordata; Actinopteri; Salmoniformes; Salmonidae. The record is from Rfam.
UGGCUCAGUUGGUAGAGCAUGGUGUUUGCAACGCCAGGGUUGUGGGUUCGAUUCCCGC